UGUUCGAUUUCGGAGAGGGAGCAUGAGAAACGGCUACCACAUCUAAGGAAGGCAGCAGGCGCGUAAAUUACCCAAUCCUGACUCAGGGAGGUAGUGACAAGAAAUAGCAAACCGGGAACCUCAUGGUUUCACGGUAUUGCAAUGAGAACAAUUUAAAACCCUUAGCGAGAAUCAAGUGGAGGACAAGUCUGGUGCCAGCACCCGCGGUAAUUCCAGCUCCACUAGCGUAUAUUAAAGUUGUUGCAGUUAAAAAGCUCGUAGUUGAACCUCUGUCUGGGGCUAGUUUUGGCUUUGGUCAGGCUAGUUCUAGGCAUCCGCCUACAAGACUUAGAGGGCAUUCAGUUGUUCACUAGGAGGAGUAGGCAUUUUACUUUGAAAAAAUUAGAGUGUUUAAGGCAGGCAAUCGCCCGCAUAUAUUAGCAUGGAAUAAUAGAAUAGGACACUUUUCCAUUUCGUUGGUUAUUGGAAUCGUGUAAUGAUUAAUAGGGACAGUUGUGGGCAUUUGUAUUUAAUUGUCAGAGGUGAAAUUCUUGGAUUUAUUAAAGACAAACUAACGCGAAAGCAUUUGCCAAGGAUGUUUUCAUUAAUCAAGAACGAAAGUUAGGGGAUCAAAGACGAUCAGAUACCGUCCUAGUCUUAACUAUAAACUAUUCCGACUCAAUGUUUGACUGGCUUAUAUAACCAGUUGAGCGUUGUAUGAGAAAUCAAAGUCUUUAGGUUCUGGGGGGAGUAUGGUUGCAAAGCUGAAACUUAAAUGAAUUGACGGAAGAGCACAACCAGGAGUGGAUUCUGCGGCUUAAUUUGACUCAACACGGGGAAACUUACCAGGUUAAAACAAUAGUGGGAUUGACAGUUUGAGAGCGCUUUCUUGAUUGGUUGGGUGGUGGUGCAUGGCCGUUCUUAGUUGGUGGAGUGAUUUGUCUGCUUAAUUGCGUUAACGAACGAGACCUUAACCUGCUUACUAGACUGGCGAUCAUCAAUCGUUAGCUCUUCUUAGAGGGACUUUGGUUGUUUUAACUCCAAGGAAGUUUGAGGCAAUAACAGGUCUGUGAUGCCCUUAGAUAUCCUGGGCCGCACGCGUCAUACAAUGACUAGUUCAGAAAGUUUUCUCCUGACCCGAAAGGGGAUGGGUAAUCUUGAUAAUACUAGUCGUGUUAGGGAUCGAUCUUUGCAAUUAUAGAUCUUGAACGAGGAAUUCCUAGUAAGUGCGGUUCAUCAGACCGUACUGAUUACGUCCCUGCUCUUUGUACACACCGCCCGUCGCUUCUACCGAGUGGGUGGUCCGGUGAGAUAAUUGAACUUCGCAGGUAACUGAGAGGAAAGAUUAUCAAACCUAUCCACCUCGAGGAAGAAGAAGUCGUAACAAGGUU
RNAcentral lists this ribosomal RNA (1370 nucleotides) under metagenome. Its description in RNAcentral is "SSU rRNA". It matches the Rfam family "Eukaryotic small subunit ribosomal RNA", at positions 374 to 1801 of the family's 1831-position model. The record is from RNAcentral.